ACUUCUUUUUCUCUCUUUCCUCUUAAUUACUUUUCGUAAAGCGUUCUCAGGCGGUUCGCUAAGACAGGUGUGAAAUCCCCGGGCUUAACCUGGGAAUGGCGCUUGUGACUGGCGGGCUGGAGUACGGCAGAGGGGGGUGGAAUUCCACGUGUAGCAGUGAAAUGCGUAGAGAUGUGGAGGAACACCGAUGGCGAAGGCAGCCCCCUGGGCCGAUACUGACGCUCAUGCACGAAAGCGUGGGGAGCAAACAG
This 251-nucleotide ribosomal RNA is filed under the name uncultured prokaryote. RNAcentral describes it as "partial 16S ribosomal RNA". It matches the Rfam family "Bacterial small subunit ribosomal RNA", at positions 549 to 775 of the family's 1533-position model. The record is from RNAcentral.